RNAcentral lists this ribosomal RNA (497 nucleotides) under uncultured bacterium. Its description in RNAcentral is "partial 16S ribosomal RNA". It matches the Rfam family "Bacterial small subunit ribosomal RNA", at positions 28 to 523 of the family's 1533-position model. The record is from RNAcentral.
GAUGAACGCUAGCGGCAGGCUUAAUACAUGCAAGUCGAACGGUAAGGUCUCUUCGGAGAUACACGAGUGGCGCACGGGUGCGUAACGCGUAUGCAACCUACCUUUAACUGGGAAAUAGCCCCGAGAAAUCGGGAUUAAUGUCCCAUAUUAUUCUGAGGAUACCUAUCCUUAGAAUGAAAGCUCCGGCGGUUAUUGAUGGGCAUGCGUGACAUUAGCUAGUUGGUGAGGUAACGGCUCACCAAGGCAACGAUGUCUAGGGGUCCUGAGAGGGUUAUCCCCCACACUGGUACUGAGACACGGACCAGACUCCUACGGGAGGCAGCAGUAAGGAAUAUUGGGCAAUGGACGCAAGUCUGACCCAGCCAUGCCGCGUGAAGGAUGAAUGUCCUAUGGAUUGUAAACUUCUUUUAUGCAGGAAAAAUAUCCCGGUCGAGAACCGGGACUGAUGGUACUGUAUGAAUAAGCAUCGGCUAACUCCGUGCCAGCCGCCGCAGUAA